RNAcentral lists this ribosomal RNA (253 nucleotides) under uncultured bacterium. RNAcentral's name for it is "partial 16S ribosomal RNA". It matches the Rfam family "Bacterial small subunit ribosomal RNA", at positions 524 to 776 of the family's 1533-position model. The record is from RNAcentral.
UACAGAGGGGGCAAGCGUUGUUCGGAAUUACUGGGCGUAAAGGGCGCGUAGGCGGCCCGCUAAGUCGAACGUGAAAUCCCCGAGCUCAACUCGGGAACUGCGUCCGAUACUGGUGGGCUUGAAUCCGGGAGAGGGAUGCGGAAUUCCAGGUGUAGCGGUGAAAUGCGUAGAUAUCUGGAGGAAUACCGGUGGCGAAGGCGGCAUCCUGGACCGGCAUUGACGCUGAGGAGCGAAAGCUAGGGGAGCAAACGGG